RNAcentral lists this transfer RNA (68 nucleotides) under Marmota monax (woodchuck). Its description in RNAcentral is "tRNA.Ala". The record is from RNAcentral. Lineage: Eukaryota; Metazoa; Chordata; Mammalia; Rodentia; Sciuridae.
GUGGUGGCUCAGUGGUAGAGUACUUGCCUAGCAUAUGGGAGGCACUGGGUUUGAUUCUCAGUACCACA